AACGAACGCUGGCGGCAGGCUUAACACAUGCAAGUCGAACGCCCCGCAAGGGGAGUGGCAGACGGGUGAGUAACGCGUGGGAACAUACCCUUUUCUACGGAAUAGCUCUGGGAAACUGGAUUUAAUACCGUAUACGCCCUACGGGGGAAAGAUUUAUCGGGGAAGGAUUGGCCCGCGUUGGAUUAGCUAGUUGGUGGGGUAAAGGCCUACCAAGGCGACGAUCCAUAGCUGGUCUGAGAGGAUGAUCAGCCACAUUGGGACUGAGACACGGCCCAAACUCCUACGGGAGGCAGCAGUGGGGAAUAUUGGACAAUGGGCGCAAGCCUGAUCCAGCCAUGCCGCGUGAGUGAUGAAGGCCUUAGGGUUGUAAAGCUCUUUCACCGAUGAAGAUAAUGACGGUAGUCGGAGAAGAAGCCCCGGCUAACUUCGUG
RNAcentral lists this ribosomal RNA (431 nucleotides) under uncultured bacterium. RNAcentral describes it as "partial 16S ribosomal RNA". It matches the Rfam family "Bacterial small subunit ribosomal RNA", at positions 29 to 507 of the family's 1533-position model. The record is from RNAcentral.